GCUGGCGGCAGGCCUAACACAUGCAAGUCGAGCGGUAACAUUUCUAGCUUGCUAGAAGAUGACGAGCGGCGGACGGGUGAGUAACGCGUAGAAAUCUACCUAGUAGUGGGGGAUAGCCCAGAGAAAUUUGGAUUAAUACCGCAUACGCCCUACGGGGGAAAGCGGGGGAUCUUCGGACCUCGUGCUAUUAGAUGAGUCUGCGUCGGAUUAGCUUGUUGGUGAGGUAAUGGCUCACCAAGGCGACGAUCCGUAGCUGGUCUGAGAGGAUGACCAGCCACACUGGAACCGAGACACGGUCCAGACUCCUACGGGAGGCAGCAGUGGGGAAUAUUGCACAAUGGGCGCAAGCCUGAUGCAGCCAUGCCGCGUGUGUGAAGAAGGCCUUAGGGUUGUAAAGCACUUUCAGCAGUGAGGAAAGGGGUGUCGUUAAUAGCGCCAUCCUGUGACGUUAACUGCAGAAGAAGGACCGGCUAACUCCGUG
RNAcentral lists this ribosomal RNA (481 nucleotides) under uncultured bacterium. RNAcentral's name for it is "bacterial SSU rRNA". It matches the Rfam family "Bacterial small subunit ribosomal RNA", at positions 35 to 507 of the family's 1533-position model. The record is from RNAcentral.